RNAcentral lists this transfer RNA (68 nucleotides) under Ischnura senegalensis. RNAcentral's name for it is "tRNA-Leu". It matches the Rfam family "tRNA". Rfam says of the family: Transfer RNA (tRNA) molecules are approximately 80 nucleotides in length. Their secondary structure includes four short double-helical elements and three loops (D, anti-codon, and T loops). Further hydrogen bonds mediate the characteristic L-shaped molecular structure. tRNAs have two regions of fundamental functional importance: the anti-codon, which is responsible for specific mRNA codon recognition, and the 3' end, to which the tRNAs corresponding amino acid is attached (by aminoacyl-tRNA synthetases). tRNAs cope with the degeneracy of the genetic code in two manners: having more than one tRNA (with a specific anti-codon) for a particular amino acid; and 'wobble' base-pairing, i.e. permitting non-standard base-pairing at the 3rd anti-codon position. RNAcentral also lists the same sequence under 1 other name. The record is from RNAcentral. Lineage: Eukaryota; Metazoa; Arthropoda; Insecta; Odonata; Coenagrionidae.
ACUAUUUUGGCAGAAAAGUGCUAUGGAUUUAGAAUUCAUCUAUGUAGGUUAAUUUCCUACAAAUAGUA